This 481-nucleotide ribosomal RNA is filed under the name uncultured bacterium. RNAcentral describes it as "partial 16S ribosomal RNA". It matches the Rfam family "Bacterial small subunit ribosomal RNA", at positions 28 to 507 of the family's 1533-position model. The record is from RNAcentral.
GAUGAACGCUGGCGGCGUGCUUAACACAUGCAAGUCGAACGAAGCAUUUGCGACAGAUUUUUUCGGAAUGAAGUUGCUUAUGACUGAGUGGCGGACGGGUGAGUAACGCGUGGGUAACCUGCCUUGUACUGGGGGAUAGCAGCUGGAAACGGCUGGUAAUACCGCAUAAGCGCACAAUGUUGCAUGACAUGGUGUGAAAAACUCCGGUGGUAUAAGAUGGACCCGCGUCUGAUUAGCUAGUUGGUGAGAUAACAGCACACCAAGGCGACGAUCAGGAGCCGAGCGGGGAGGCGGACAGGACACAUUGGGAAUGAGACACGGCCCAGACUCGUACGGGAGGGAGCAGUGGGGAAUAUUGCACAAUGGAGGAAACUCUGACGCAGCGACGCCGCGUGAGUGAAGAAGUAAUUCGUUAUGUAAAGCUCCAUCAGCAGGGAAGAUAGUGACGGUACCUGACUAAGAAGCUCCGGCUAAAUACGUG